This 301-nucleotide ribosomal RNA is filed under the name uncultured bacterium. RNAcentral's name for it is "partial 16S ribosomal RNA". It matches the Rfam family "Bacterial small subunit ribosomal RNA", at positions 509 to 807 of the family's 1533-position model. The record is from RNAcentral.
CAGCAGCCACGGUAACACGGAGGGUGCAAGCGUUAAUCGGAAUUACUGGGCGUAAAGCGCACGCAGGCGGUCUGUCAAGUCAGAUGUGAAAUCCCCGGGCUUAACCUGGGAACUGCAUUUGAAACUGGCAGGCUAGAGUCUUGUAGAGGGGGGUAGAAUUCCAGGUGUAGCGGUGAAAUGCGUAGAGAUCUGGAGGAAUACCGGUGGCGAAGGCGGCCCCCUGGACAAAGACUGACGCUCAGGUGCGAAAGCGUGGGGAGCAAACAGGAUUAGAUACCCCUGUAGUCCCUGUCUCUUAUAC